Molecule: ribosomal RNA, 429 nt
Filed under: Actinomycetes bacterium
Lineage: Bacteria; Bacillati; Actinomycetota; Actinomycetes
Description: Actinobacteria bacterium partial 16S ribosomal RNA
Rfam family: Bacterial small subunit ribosomal RNA
Source: RNAcentral
UAGGGAAUCUUCCGCAAUGGGCGAAAGCCUGACGGAGCAACGCCGCGUGAGUGAUGAAGGUCUUCGGAUCGUAAAACUCUGUUAUUAGGGAAGAACAAAUGUGUAAGUAACUAUGCACGUCUUGACGGUACCUAAUCAGAAAGCCACGGCUAACUACGUGCCAGCAGCCGCGGUAAUACGUAGGUGGCAAGCGUUAUCCGGAAUUAUUGGGCGUAAAGCGCGCGUAGGCGGUCUUUUAAGUCUGAUGUGAAAGCCCACGGCUCAACCGUGGAGGGUCAUUGGAAACUGGAAAACUUGAGUGCAGAAGAGGAAAGUGGAAUUCCAUGUGUAGCGGUGAAAUGCGCAGAGAUAUGGAGGAACACCAGUGGCGAAGGCGACUUUCUGGUCUGUAACUGACGCUGAUGUGCGAAAGCGUGGGGAUCAAACAGG